RNAcentral lists this ribosomal RNA (446 nucleotides) under uncultured bacterium. RNAcentral's name for it is "SSU rRNA". It matches the Rfam family "Bacterial small subunit ribosomal RNA", at positions 26 to 518 of the family's 1533-position model. The record is from RNAcentral.
AGGAUGAACGCUGGCGGCGUGCCUAAGACAUGCAAGUCGAGUGGGUUUAGACCCACGGCGAACGGGUGAGUAAUACCUAGGAACUUUCUUUAAGUGGAGGAUAACCAGUCGAAAGAUUGGAUAAUACUUCAUGUGGCAGUAAUGCUAAAGUCGCAAGACGCUUAAAGUGAGGCCUGGGCACCAUCAGCUAGUUGGUAAGGUAAUGGCUUACCAAGGCUAUGACGGUUAGGGGUCCCGAGAGGGAUAACCCCCACACUGGAACUGCGACACGGUCCAGACUCCUACGGGAGGCAGCAGUUUGGAAUUUUGGACAAUGGGCGAAAGCCUGAUCCAGCGACGCCGCGUGGACGAUGAAGGCCUUCGGGUCGUAAAGUCCUUUUGCUCGGGAACAAUAUUUUGAGCGUACCGAGAGAAUAAGAGGUUGCUAACUCUGUGCCAGCAGCCGC